UACAGAGGGGGCAAGCGUUGUCCGGAAUUACUGGGCGUACAGCGCGCGCAGGCGGUUGCCGACGUGCCGUGUGACAAACGGGGGCUCAACCCCCGAGGGCCACGGUAAACGGGGCGACUGGAGGAAGGGAGAGGGAUGUGGAAUUCCUGGUGUAGCGGUGAAAUGCGCAGAUAUCAGGAAGAACACCCGUGGCGAAGGCGGCUCUCUGGGACGGUACUGACGCUGAGACGCGAAAGCGUGGGGAGCGAACAGG
Molecule: ribosomal RNA, 253 nt
Filed under: uncultured bacterium
Lineage: Bacteria
Description: partial 16S ribosomal RNA
Rfam family: Bacterial small subunit ribosomal RNA
Source: RNAcentral